ACUCCCCCGCCUCCGCCCGCGUUAAGGUGGAACCGGCCCGCCGGCCGCAGAGCGGUGCUGGGGUCAGAGGCAGAGUUAGCGCAGAGCCUCCCCCAACUACCUCCAAAAUACACCCGAAAUCCAGCUGGUCUCGGUGCUACCAGAGCCCCUCAAUAAACCCUUGCCCAUCUCAGAGAGUCCCACCCCAAAAGUGUAUCCAUCCAGACCCCCAGGGUGCUCAGGCAGUUCCCCGCCAAGAAAUACCCCAAAGCCGGGGCUCCCUCCGACAAGCACUAUAACAUAUGGUAGUUUUAAAUUAACCUUGGCCUCCCACUUGCUUUUCUGGCCAGAACAGCAGAAAGAGGGGGUGGGGGAAUGGGAGGUGUUCCCUGCCUUGUUCCUUGCCCCGCGAAGCUUUUCCAGGAGAGAAAAUGUAAUUGCAUUUUGUUAUGCACUGAACCAGGGGGUGGCCUUUUAUGGCCCAAAAAACCACACACACAUUCAAUAAAACAGUUAAUUUGCUGGGAGAGAGAGUCAUAGGUGCAACAUCCUCUUAAAUAAGCGUCCAGGCAAGUGCUGCUGAAGGAGAGAUCCUGGGAUCAAUGGAAACUUUGAGCAUGAAGAGGAAUGGAGGACCUGGCCUUGAUGAGCAACCCAUGGCUGGAGAGACUACUGGAGAAAAUAGCAGUGGCUUCUUCUCCCUAGCUUGCUUCAGAGAAUCUGGAGCUGGUAUUCAGCUACUCUCUGAAAAUGACCGUCACUAGGUGAGAACCAACCCAGCUGUAGCUUGUAUGAAGAGUAACAGGUACAGCAGCAGCCAACCAAGCGGAACAGAGACGGCUUGGGAAUUCUGCGGUAUAAAACGGAUUUAUAGCAACAACCUAGGGUCCAUCUCAAGCAGGAAACAGGACAGGUUGGGGGGAACGUACCAGUAAAGCCUGAGGAGCUGACGUUGCAGAGCUAGCUGCUUACCUAUAACACAAGCAAGCCGCAUAAAUCUGAAGUAACUACUGAAAUCAGUGGUGUUGCUGCAGAUUUACACUGGUGUACAGAGAUCAGACUCUGGCCCUGGUUAUAUUCCGAACUGUGGAAAGCUAUAAUCCAUCAUUAUUGUAUUUUCCUGUUCAUGAAUGUUUGCCUUCUAUACCUCAACUCAACUUGCUCCAAGCUAUCUCUUUCAAGCUUCCCCCAUUGUCUUGCCUGGUAACACUGACUCUGUACCCAUUCUUCUCUGAUUGCACAAGUUCCUUGUGCUGAUCAUGCAGGAAGUAUUUCCUGAGGUAGCAUUUCCUGAUGACUAACUACUGAGGAAAUCAGCCUGGAGACUGUGAUGAUGAAUCUUUCUUUCUAUUUUUUUUUUAAUCUUUUAAAAAAAUUCUCCCUUUGUACUAUUUUUGAACUUCAAAAAGCUGGUCAUGAUAGAAAUGUGUUUUCUAUUAAAGACUCUAAAUCUGGGUUCUCCCCUUUUUGAGAACAGAGCAAUAA
Long non-coding RNA from Chelonoidis abingdonii (Abingdon island giant tortoise), 1464 nucleotides. RefSeq lists it as uncharacterized. Lineage: Eukaryota; Metazoa; Chordata; Testudines; Testudinidae. The record is from RefSeq and is a predicted model, not a curated record.